RNAcentral lists this long non-coding RNA (1253 nucleotides) under Piliocolobus tephrosceles (Ugandan red Colobus). Its description in RNAcentral is "lncRNA (ENSPTEG00000015284.1)". The record is from RNAcentral. Lineage: Eukaryota; Metazoa; Chordata; Mammalia; Primates; Cercopithecidae.
UUUUUUUUAAUACCUUUAAUUUGAAAGUUUUUAUUUUUAAAUACCUAUAAUAUUGAAUUUUAUUUCGCUGUACGUUAAUUAAGAUUUUAUAUAAGUUAAUAUAUGGAUAUAUCUGCAUGUAAUGUAACAUUAUUGUAAAGUGAUAUAUAUAUAUAUAUAUAUGUGUAUAUUAUCUAAUUUUUUGUAUAUAUAUACACUCAUAUUUAUAUAUAUUUUUUCUUUUUCUUUUAAAAAAAAAAAAAAAAAACAAAAAAAAAAAAAAAAAAAAAAAAUGGAAAAAGCAAUUAAAGAAAGAAUUGAGAAAUGGAAAAAAGAAAAUGUCACUGAAGGAAAGGAAGUAACAAAUGAAGAUGUUUAUGAAAAUUUGACUGAAUUAAUUUUAGAUGGUAAAAAAUUUAGUACAAUAAAAACAGAAGAUAAUGAAUUAUUAAAAAAUUUUAAGAAUAUAGAAAGAUUAUGUUUAAACCAAACAGGUAUACAAAGUUUAGAAAAUUUACCAACUAUAGAAACAUUAACAGUACUUGAAUUAACUGAUAAUCACUUAAGUACAGUUGACAUAUUAAAAUAUAUUGUUGAACAUUAUCCUAAUAUUAGUACCUUAGAAAUUGGUGGUAAUCAUUUUAAAAAUAUUAAAGAUUUUGAAGAAUUAAAAAACUUAAAAAAAUUAAAUAGAUUAGGUGUACAAUUUAAUCCAUUUGCUGAAGAUGCAAAUUAUAGAAAAGAAUUAUUUGAAUUUUUACCUAAUGUUAAAAUAAUUGAUUGUUAUAAUAAAGAAGGUGUUGAAGUUUUAAGUUCUGAUGAAGAAGAAGAAGAAGAAUUUGAAGAAGAUAAUACUCUGAAAAAUUUUUAUGAAGCUGAUUUUAAAGAAGAAGAUGAAGAGGAUGAGGAAUUUGUACCAAAUGACAAUGAAGAAGAAGAUGAUGAUGAUGAACUUGAUGAAGAUUUAGAAGAAGAAGAACUUGAAGAAUUAAGCAAAGUAGAUUUAGACUCUGAAUUAAAUGAAGCUGAUGGUGGAAAUAAAGAUGAUAAAACCAAUAAAAGAAAAGAAGCUCCUUUAGAUAAUGAUGCUAAUGGAACUGAUCAUAAAAAAGCAAAAAUUGACUAAACUUUUUUUUUUUUUUUUUUUUUUUUUUUUUUUUUUUUUUUUUUUUUUUUAUAAGCAAAAAGGAUACAUAUAUAUAUAUAUAUAUAUAUAUAUUUAUCCUAUUUUUUCUUUUUAAAAGGAAUAAAAUAUUUAUAUAUCAUGUACCCCA